This 279-nucleotide ribosomal RNA is filed under the name unidentified marine eubacterium. RNAcentral's name for it is "partial 16S ribosomal RNA". It matches the Rfam family "Bacterial small subunit ribosomal RNA", at positions 527 to 805 of the family's 1533-position model. The record is from RNAcentral.
GAAGGGACCUAGCGUAGUUCGGAAUUACUGGGCUUAAAGAGCUCGUAGGUGGUUAGAAAAGUUGGUGGUGAAAUCCCAAGGCUUAACCUUGGAACUGCCAUCAAAACUUUUUGACUAGAGUAUGAUAGAGGAAAGUGGAAUUUCUAGUGUAGAGGUGAAAUUCGUAGAUAUUAGAAAGAACACCAAUUGCGAAGGCAACUUUCUGGAUCAUUACUGACACUGAGGAGCGAAACGAUGGGUAGCGAAGAGGAUUAGAUACCCUCGUAGUCCAUGCCGUAA